This 27-nucleotide ribosomal RNA is filed under the name Opuntia bahamana. RNAcentral's name for it is "partial 26S ribosomal RNA". Lineage: Eukaryota; Viridiplantae; Streptophyta; Magnoliopsida; Caryophyllales; Cactaceae. The record is from RNAcentral.
CGACCCCAGGUCAGGGGGGGCUACCCG